UUUCACAUGCAAGUCGAACGGCAGCAUGGAGAGCUUGCUCUCUGAUGGCGAGUGGCGAACGGGUGAGUAAUAUAUCGGAACGUGCCCAGUAAUGGGGAAUAACUAAUUGAAAGAUUAGCUAAUACCGCAUACGACCUACGGGUGAAAGCAGGGGAUCUUCGGACCUUGCGUUAUUGGAGCGGCCGAUAUCUGAUUAGCUAGUUGGUAGGGUAAAAGCCUACCAAGGCGACGAUCAGUAGCUGGUCUGAGAGGACGAUCAGCCACACUGGAACUGAGACACGGUCCAGACUCCUACGGGAGGCAGCAGUGGGGAAUUUUGGACAAUGGGGGAAACCCUGAUCCAGCCAUCCCGCGUGAGUGAAGAAGGCCUUCGGGUUGUAAAGCUCUUUCGGAAGUGAAGAAAACUUAUUUCGUAAUAUGUUAUAAGAAUGACNGAGUACUUUAGAAGAAGCACCGGCUAACUACGUGCCA
This 471-nucleotide ribosomal RNA is filed under the name uncultured beta proteobacterium. Its description in RNAcentral is "bacterial SSU rRNA". It matches the Rfam family "Bacterial small subunit ribosomal RNA", at positions 49 to 510 of the family's 1533-position model. The record is from RNAcentral. Lineage: Bacteria; Pseudomonadati; Pseudomonadota; Betaproteobacteria.